Molecule: long non-coding RNA, 862 nt
Organism: Parus major (Great Tit)
Lineage: Eukaryota; Metazoa; Chordata; Aves; Passeriformes; Paridae
Exons: 3
Source: RefSeq, a predicted model, not a curated record
AGUGGAUCAAAAUAUCUGCCCUCAGAUGAUGCUGGAAAACUUCAGGACACUAACAAUGCCCCUCAUUCCACCCUCCCUUUUCUUCUGCGGGACCAGGCUGAGAAUUGAAGACUUCAUCUGCAUCAGAUAAUAUCAUCAAUAGUCUUUAACCCUUGGCCUUCCCAGGAGUAAAAGAAGACUUGACAUACAGAAAGAGAAAAAUAAAUGCUCUUAGAAGUGAAAUUAGAGCUCCUGAGAGAAGCUUCCUGCCUUGAAGACCUCAUGACCUUGAUCCACAGGCCUGUCUACUACCAAGUGCCCAUGAGGACAGUUUGAGAAUAAAUAGUGAAAUUUAUUACACUAUCUUGUGCUAGUAAAAACAGACUGAUAAUUUCUGCAUUUCUCCUCUGGCUGGGAAAUGCCUCAUCCUUUUUCAGCAUCUCCUCUUCUCUCUGCAGUCUUUAUCUUAAGGAAAUAAGAAAUGAUCUAUGUUGUGCCCAGGAAGGUCUUCUUUACCUCUGCUACUUUGGAGGAGUUGUGUUCAUGUUCCUGUCGCCUUGUUUCUGCCAUUUGGCCCUCCAUGAGGAAGGUGAAGACAAGUUUUCCUCUAUCCUACUGAGCCCACUGGCCUUGGAAAGAUAAUCCUUGUUCCACAUGUUGGCAAUGAUAGAGGGAAAAGACUGAAGAGAGCAGGUAUGGUAAAAGGGUAAAGGAAAAAGAUCAAAUAUGUGAGCAAAAAUGAGUACAAACCAGCAGAGUACAAAAAAAACCACCAUCAAAAUGAGGCAGAGACACAACAGAGAGGCUAAGGAGAAUUUUUGUUCCUGCUAGAUUUGCAUGCUUCGUGUGGCUUCCUUUCACAUUAAAUAUUCAUGUGCCUAAU